GGGGGAGGAGACAAGACUGCGGGAACCAGGGCUCCAGAGGAGGGAGGGACAGAGCCGAGCUCAGAAUCCCUGGCAGAGUCUGGGAUGCAGGCAAGCUGAAGUGAGUGGUCUUCUCAAUCAGGUGGCCUUGCAUCCUGGCAAACAGGUACAGGGGAGACAGCCUGGGCACUGGAUUCACACGGAAGUUCUACACUUGCUCUCCCAGCAUGAGGCCCUGGCCGGGUGCAAAAUGAAACUGUGGAGGUCCCAGCAGCGGCAUUUUGAUUGAAAGUUAAUCUCCUCUUCCCAUAGGCCCACCGCCUCCAACUCACUGCUGACAGAUGGCGAUCACAGAACACUGCCGCCCAAGCACAGGGCCCUUCUGAGGGUUGGCCCUGGGUGACUGCACUGGUGACACACCCAAGAAGCUAGCCCUGGUCGCUUUGGCUGCUGUGUGGACAACGGGUUAGAAGGACAGAGCUGGAGGUGGGCAGGAGGCCACGCUACAAGGACAGAGCCCCCAACCCAGGCCUGGG
This is a long non-coding RNA of Hipposideros armiger (great roundleaf bat), 515 nucleotides long. RefSeq lists it as uncharacterized. NCBI's taxonomy places the organism in Eukaryota, Metazoa, Chordata, Mammalia, Chiroptera, Hipposideridae. The transcript has 4 exons. The record is from RefSeq and is a predicted model, not a curated record.